AUUGAACGCUGGCGGCAGGCCUAACACAUGCAAGUCGAGCGGAUGAAGGGAGCUUGCUCCUGGAUUCAGCGGCGGACGGGUGAGUAAUGCCUAGGAAUCUGCCUGGUAGUGGGGGAUAACGUCCGGAAACGGGCGCUAAUGCCGCAUACGUCCUGAGGGAGAAAGUGGGGGAUCUUCGGACCUCACGCUAUCAGAUGAGCCUAGGUCGGAUUAGCUAGUUGGUGGGGUAAAGGCCUACCAAGGCGACGAUCCGUAACUGGUCUGAGAGGAUGAUCAGUCACACUGGAACUGAGACACGGUCCAGACUCCUACGGGAGGCAGCAGUGGGGAAUAUUGGACAAUGGGCGAAAGCCUGAUCCAGCCAUGCCGCGUGUGUGAAGAAGGUCUUCGGAUUGUAAAGCACUUUAAGUUGGGAGGAAGGGCAGUAAGUUAAGACCUUGCUGUUUUGACGUUACCAACAGAAUAAGCACCGGCUAACUUCGU
This 483-nucleotide ribosomal RNA is filed under the name uncultured bacterium. RNAcentral's name for it is "partial 16S ribosomal RNA". It matches the Rfam family "Bacterial small subunit ribosomal RNA", at positions 30 to 506 of the family's 1533-position model. The record is from RNAcentral.